Molecule: non-coding RNA, 74 nt
Organism: Otolemur garnettii (small-eared galago)
Lineage: Eukaryota; Metazoa; Chordata; Mammalia; Primates; Galagidae
Source: Rfam
GCAGUGCUCUAUCUACACAGGGACCAGUCACUUAGUCUAAAUGUACCUGAUCCCUGCGUGGGUAGAGCAAGGCU